GACAAUGUGUCCGAGUGGUUAAGGAGACUGACUUGAAAUCAGUUGGGUUUAUCCCGCGCAAGUUCAAAUCUUGUCAUUGUCG
Molecule: transfer RNA, 82 nt
Filed under: Paracoccaceae bacterium
Lineage: Bacteria; Pseudomonadati; Pseudomonadota; Alphaproteobacteria; Rhodobacterales; Paracoccaceae
Description: Rhodobacteraceae bacterium tRNA-Ser
Rfam family: tRNA
About the family: Transfer RNA (tRNA) molecules are approximately 80 nucleotides in length.
Source: RNAcentral